This 205-nucleotide long non-coding RNA is filed under the name Manihot esculenta (cassava). Its description in RNAcentral is "long non-coding RNA (MESC_LNC006026)". The record is from RNAcentral. Lineage: Eukaryota; Viridiplantae; Streptophyta; Magnoliopsida; Malpighiales; Euphorbiaceae.
CUCUUACCUCUUGGAGAUCGAGAGGAAAGACGAUCCAACUCGGAGAUGGGAGAAAUCUCACUCCUUGGGUCUCCAAGCUUCAAAACUUGCUCUAAGCUCACAAAUCUUCAAAAACCAAGCAAACACUUGUUAAAACUUGAAAGAUUGGAGGAAAAUCGUCAAAAACGACCAUGGGAGAGCAUGGACUCACCGUUGGCCGAAAAUG